UUUUUAGUAUAAGUAUAUCCCGUACAAUAUCUGGGACAUAUUUAUACUUUAA
Molecule: microRNA precursor, 52 nt
Filed under: Pteropus alecto (black flying fox)
Lineage: Eukaryota; Metazoa; Chordata; Mammalia; Chiroptera; Pteropodidae
Also listed under: 1 other name
Description: mir-1302 microRNA precursor family
Rfam family: mir-1302 microRNA precursor family
Source: Rfam by way of RNAcentral